UUUAACGAGAGUUUGAUCCUGGCUCAGGAUGAACGCUGGCGGCGUGCUUAACACAUGCAAGUCGAGCGAAGCACUUUUUUAGAACGCUUCGGAGGGAAGAGAGGGUGACUUAGCGGCGGACGGGUGAGUAACGCGUGGGCAACCUGCCUUACACAGGGGGAUAACAAUUAGAAAUGAUUGCUAAUACCGCAUAAGACCCCAGUACCGCAUGGUACAGAGGUAAAAACUGAGGUGGUGUAAGAUGGGCCCGCGUCUGAUUAGGUAGUUGGUGGGGUAGAAGCCUACCAAGCCGACGAUCAGUAGCCGACCUGAGAGGGCGACCGGCCACAUUGGGACUGAGACACGGCCCAAACUCCUACGGGAGGCAGCAGUGGGGAAUAUUGCACAAUGGGGGAAACCCUGAUGCAGCGACGCCGCGUGAGUGAGGAAGUAUUUCGGUAUGUAAAGCUCUAUCAGCAGGGAAGAAAAUGACGGUACCUGACUAAGAAGCCCCGGCUAACUACGUGCCAGCAGCCGCGGUAAUACGUAGGGGGCAAGCGUUAUCCGGAUUUACUGGGUGUAAAGGGAGCGUAGACGGAUAAGCAAGUCUGAUGUGAAAAUCCGGGGCCCAACCCCGGAAUUGCAUUGGAAACUGCAUAUCUAGAGUGUCGGAGAGGCAAGUGGAAUUCCUGGUGUAGCGGUGAAAUGCGUAGAUAUCAGGAGGAACACCAGUGGCGAAGGCGGCUUGCUGGACGAUGACUGACGUUGAGGCUCGAAAGCGUGGGGAGCAAACAGGAUUAGAUACCCUGGUAGUCCACGCCGUAAACGAUGACUACUAGGUGUCGGGAGGCAAAGCCUUUCGGUGCCGCAGCCAACGCAAUAAGUAGUCCACCUGGGGAGUACGUUCGCAAGAAUGAAACUCAAAGGAAUUGACGGGGGGGACUGCCAGGGACAACYUGGAGGAAGGUGGGGAUGACGUCAAAUCAUCAUGCCCCUUAUGGCCAGGGCUACACACGUGCUACAAUGGCGUAAACAAAGAGAAGCGACCACGCGAGUGUGAGCGAAUCUCAAAAAUAACGUCUCAGUUCGGAUUGUAGUCUGCAACUCGACUACAUGAAGCUGGAAUCGCUAGUAAUCGCAGAUCAGAAUGCUGCGGUGAAUACGUUCCCGGGUCUUGUACACACCGCCCGUCACACCAUGGGAGUCAGUAACGCCCGAAGCCGGUGACCCAACCUAAGCAGGAGGGAGCCGUCGAAGGCGGGACGGAUGACUGGGGUGAAGUCGUAACAAGGUAGCCGUAUCGGAAGGUGCGGCUGGAUCACCUCCUUUCUAAGGAA
This 1316-nucleotide ribosomal RNA is filed under the name Schaedlerella arabinosiphila. RNAcentral's name for it is "bacterial SSU rRNA". Lineage: Bacteria; Bacillati; Bacillota; Clostridia; Lachnospirales; Lachnospiraceae. The record is from RNAcentral.